RNAcentral lists this ribosomal RNA (494 nucleotides) under uncultured bacterium. Its description in RNAcentral is "partial 16S ribosomal RNA". It matches the Rfam family "Bacterial small subunit ribosomal RNA", at positions 28 to 523 of the family's 1533-position model. The record is from RNAcentral.
GAUGAAUGCUAGCGGCAGGCCUAACACAUGCAAGUCGAGGGGUAGUUGUCUUCGGACAAUGAGACCGGCGCACGGGUGCGUAACGCGUAUGCAAUCUACCUUAUACUAAGGGAUAGCCCAGAGAAAUUUGGAUUAAUGCCCCAUGGUAUAUCGAGAUGGCAUCAUCAUGAUAUUAAAGUUCCAACGGUAAAAGAUGGGCAUGCGUCCUAUUAGCUGGAUGGUAAGGGAACGGCUUACCAUGGCUACGAUAGGUAGGGGUCCUGAGAGGGAGAUCCCCCACACUGGUACUGAGACACGGACCAGACUCCUACGGGAGGCAGCAGUGAGGAAUAUUGGACAAUGGGCGCAAGCCUGAUCCAGCCAUGCCGCGUGCAGGAAGACGGUCCUAUGGAUUGUAAACUGCUUUUGUACGGGAAGAAACACUCCUACGUGUAGGAGCUUGACGGUACCGUAAGAAUAAGGAUCGGCUAACUCCGUGCCAGCCGCCGCCGUAA